UCUAUAUUUUAUAUGGAGUGCUAGAGAUAGACUUUAAUGGCACUUUGUUCAAAAUUUAUACUACGACCUCGAGAGCAAAUCCUCAAAAGAAGAUCAGAAGAUCUGUGAAAUACAUCAUGGACCACACCAUAUCUAAUAAGAUGUGAUUCCUCCUUUCUGCAAUACUAUUUAAUUAUGGAGUGUAAGGAGGUGUCCACUGAAAGAGAAUAUUAUUUUAUUUUAAAUGAUCAAGGAACUAACUACUUAAGUAUUCCCUCUUCGAC
RNAcentral lists this long non-coding RNA (263 nucleotides) under Elaeis guineensis (African oil palm). RNAcentral's name for it is "long non-coding RNA (EGUI_LNC054912)". Lineage: Eukaryota; Viridiplantae; Streptophyta; Magnoliopsida; Arecales; Arecaceae. The record is from RNAcentral.